RNAcentral lists this long non-coding RNA (1016 nucleotides) under Malus domestica (apple). Its description in RNAcentral is "long non-coding RNA (MDOM_LNC008769)". The record is from RNAcentral. Lineage: Eukaryota; Viridiplantae; Streptophyta; Magnoliopsida; Rosales; Rosaceae.
CUAACGAUCCAAAGCAUCCAUCUAUGACUAACUCGUAAUUUAUGUUUUAGAUGUAUCACAACUCAGUUGGGAUUAGUCACUACCUUGCAACCUUUUGGGUUUUAAGCAUCGUUAUAUUCUAAACAGUUAACACUACCAUAUCAUAUCUACUAUAGAGAUAAUCAAUUAGAUUACAAUGAUCUAAUCAUUCAUUAAUAAAGAACAAAGUUUUGUCAAACAAAACAUUCAUCCAUUUCUCAUACGGAAUUAUGUUCCUUUAUUCAAAUUGGAAUGUAAAGACAAUCUUUGUUUUUCCAUUUUCUUUGGUAGUUCACAUGAGGAAGUAAGUACUACCUGCUUUCGCAGAGAUCUACAUUUGAUUCACAUUCCGAAUGUGAAGUACUUUCUCUUCUCUCAUUAAUCUUCUACUUCUUAUUAGCCACACUUUUACAACGAUUGUAAAACAUAGUUACUAAUACGGAAUCAAGCAUUCAAGUAGAAGAACCAACUGUUUUGAAUUAUUCAAGAACAAUUUACAACACCUUCGAAAGGUGUGUUCUUGACACUUGCAAGACAUUUCUUGCAAAUACCCCUUCCAAUGUCCAUCCUUUCAUAAAGAAAGUUUGUUCCGUUGGAGUUAUUUCUCCUUCUUCAUUUGACUUCUCCUUUGACUACAAUAGUCAUGGUCCCUAUCCCACUAUCUCUCUUGAAACUUAUUUCAAUUGUGUUAUAUACAUCAAACAAUUUGGAGAGCGUGUGGUUAUUGUUCACUAUAUAGUUUACAAUAAACUUAGUGAACCAUUUGGAUAGGGACACAAAAGUGAAGUCCUUCCCUAGUUUCCAUCUCUAGAAGUGGUUUAACACUUCAACACUUCAACACUCAAUGAUUCAAAAUCAUCAUAAGUCCAUGUUGAUGGACUAUUUUUGUCAACCAACCAUUAUGUUCUAAACAAAAUUACAAACAUUCAAGAGUUGUUCAAGGCAACUCUCAUUUCUUCAUACAACAAUUUGUAAGUGAAGAAUCAUGGCACAUAAAG